UAGAUUAGCAAUGAUGAUAAAUGCUUAUUAAUCCCAGCUCAUUACGAGAUUUCCUUUGUGGAGAUCGGGGAAUUGAACUUUAUCCAAUAUUUAUCUGAGUUUUUUU
Spinacia oleracea (spinach) is the source of this 106-nucleotide non-coding RNA. The record is from Rfam. Lineage: Eukaryota; Viridiplantae; Streptophyta; Magnoliopsida; Caryophyllales; Amaranthaceae.